CGGGCAGGGUUGAGAAUAGCAG
RNAcentral lists this unclassified non-coding RNA (22 nucleotides) under Mus musculus (house mouse). RNAcentral describes it as "oocyte_clustered_small_RNA2220". The record is from RNAcentral. Lineage: Eukaryota; Metazoa; Chordata; Mammalia; Rodentia; Muridae.